RNAcentral lists this ribosomal RNA (406 nucleotides) under uncultured bacterium. RNAcentral's name for it is "partial 16S ribosomal RNA". It matches the Rfam family "Bacterial small subunit ribosomal RNA", at positions 29 to 526 of the family's 1533-position model. The record is from RNAcentral.
AUUGAACGCUGGCGGCAGGCCUAACACAUGCAAGUCGAACGAGUGGCGGACGGGUGAGUAAUGUCUGUGAAACUGCCUGAUGGAGGGGGAUAACUACUGGAAACGGUAGCUAAUACCGCAUACCAUCAGAUGUGCCCAGAUGGGAUUGGCUAGUUGGUGGGGUAACGGCUCACCAAGGCGACGAUCCCUAGCUGGUCGGAGAGGAUGACCGGCCACACGGGACCUGAGACACGGGCCGGACUCCUACGGGAGGAAGCAGUGGGAAAUAUUGCACAAUGGGGGAAAGCCUGAUGCAGCAAGGCCGCGUGUAGGAAGAAGGCCUUCGGGUUGUAAAGUACUUUCAGCGGGGAGGCGUUACCCGAAGAAGAAGCACCGGCUAACUCCGUGCCAGCAGCCGCGGUAAUUC